GUCGAGCGAGUCAAUCAAAUCCUUGAAGAUAUGCUCCGGGCUUCUGUCAUCUCUUUCGGUAUGAAGUGGGAAGAUUGUCUUCCAUAUGCCAAGUUUUCCUACAACAAUAGCUUCCAAGCGAGUUCAGGCAAGGCCCCAUUCGAAAUUCUCUAUGGCAGAAAGUGCCGUACUCCUCUCAAUUGGUCUGAGACAGGUGAACGCCAACUUCUUGGCAAUGACUUGAUCACAGAAGCCGAAGAAAUGUGCAAAGUCAUUCAUGAGAAUCUCAAAGCCGCGCAAUCACGACAGAAGAGUUACUAUGAUAGCAAGCACCGUGACUUGGCUUUUGAAAUCAAAGACCAUGUCUACCUCCGCGUCUCUCCAAUGAAAGGCACUCGUCACUUUGGUAUCAAAGGGAAGCUUGCCCCUAGAUACGUGGGUCCUUUCAAGAUCAUUGGCAAAAGAGGCGACCUCGCCUAUCAACUUGAG
RNAcentral lists this ribosomal RNA (468 nucleotides) under Triticum aestivum (bread wheat). Its description in RNAcentral is "partial small subunit ribosomal RNA". Lineage: Eukaryota; Viridiplantae; Streptophyta; Magnoliopsida; Poales; Poaceae. The record is from RNAcentral.